UUAGGGAGACCUAAACCCCUCAAUACCGAACAAAAGUAAUUAGGUAAGAGAAAGGGUCAGACCUAGGUCGGUCGAGGAUUAGAAGCAGGCUUUCAAACUCAACUUCGGUUCGGAGGUAUGGGCUAUUAGCUCAGGUGGUUAGAGCGCACCCCUGAUAAGGGUGAGGUCCCUGGUUCGAGUCCAGGAUGGCCCACCUAAACCCAAAAGAACCUUGAAAAAGGGAAAAUGGGGGUAUAGCUCAGUUGGUAGAGCGCUGCCUUUGCAAGGCAGAUGUCAGCGGUUCGAGUCCGCUUACCUCCWGUGGAGGAAAAAUAAGAAUCAGCACCUCAUCAAUCAUCAAAAUGAAAUGAGACUGCUGGUAGUCUUACCAGCCAGAACCUUGAAAAGUGCAUAGCAAUAAGUCUUAAAAAGUCUAGGGAAAAAGAUCAAACAGACAUUGAUAUU
This 444-nucleotide transfer RNA is filed under the name Klisinema sp. CCALA 141. RNAcentral's name for it is "Geitlerinema cf. acuminatum CCALA 141 partial 16S-23S ribosomal RNA intergenic spacer". The stretch from base 228 to 300 matches the Rfam family "tRNA". The record is from RNAcentral. Lineage: Bacteria; Bacillati; Cyanobacteriota; Cyanophyceae; Desertifilales; Desertifilaceae.